This 253-nucleotide ribosomal RNA is filed under the name uncultured bacterium. RNAcentral describes it as "partial 16S ribosomal RNA". It matches the Rfam family "Bacterial small subunit ribosomal RNA", at positions 524 to 776 of the family's 1533-position model. The record is from RNAcentral.
UACGGAGGGUGCAAGCGUUGUUCGGAAUUAUUGGGCGUAAAGGGCGUGUAGGCGGUUUUCUAAGUCUGAUGUGAAAGCCCCGGGCUCAACCUGGGAAGUGCAUUGGAAACUGGAAGACUUGAGUACGGGAGAGGGCAGUGGAAUUCCUGGUGUAGGAGUGAAAUCCGUAGAUAUCAGGAGGAACACCGGUGGCGAAGGCGGCUGCCUGGACCGAUACUGACGCUGAGACGCGAAAGCGUGGGGAGCAAACAGG